This 497-nucleotide ribosomal RNA is filed under the name uncultured bacterium. Its description in RNAcentral is "partial 16S ribosomal RNA". It matches the Rfam family "Bacterial small subunit ribosomal RNA", at positions 28 to 507 of the family's 1533-position model. The record is from RNAcentral.
GAUGAACGCUGGCGGCGUGCCUAAUACAUGCAAGUCGAGCGAACGGACGAGAAGCUUGCUUCUCUGAUGUUAGCGGCGGACGGGUGAGUAACACGUGGAUAACCUACCUAUAAGACUGGGAUAACUUCGGGAAACCGUAGCUAAUACCGGAUAAUAUUUUGAACCGCAUGGUUCAAAAGUGAAAGACGGUCUUGCUGUCACUUAUAGAUGGAUCCGCGCUGCAUUAGCUAGUUGGUAAGGUAACGGCUUACCAAGGCAACGAUGCAUAGCCGACCUGAGAGGGUGAUCGGCCACACUGGAACUGAGACACGGUCCAGACUCCUACGGGAGGCAGCAGUAGGGAAUCUUCCGCAAUGGGCGAAAGCCUGACGGAGCCACGCCGCGUGAGUGAUGAAGGUCUUCGGAUCGUAAAACUCUGUUAUUAGGGAAGAACAUAUGUGGAAGUAACUGUGCACAUCUUGACGGUACCUAAUCAGAAAGCCACGGCUAACUACGUG